This 250-nucleotide ribosomal RNA is filed under the name uncultured Planctomycetia bacterium. RNAcentral's name for it is "partial 16S ribosomal RNA". It matches the Rfam family "Bacterial small subunit ribosomal RNA", at positions 524 to 773 of the family's 1533-position model. Lineage: Bacteria; Pseudomonadati; Planctomycetota; Planctomycetia. The record is from RNAcentral.
GACGAACCGAGCGAACGUUGUUCGGAAUCACUGGGCUUAAAGGGCGCGUAGGCGGCUCUUCAAGUCGGGGGUGAAAUCCCACAGCUUAACUGUGGAAGUGCCUUCGAUACUGAGGAGCUCGAGCGAGGUAGGGGCCGAGGGAACUUCUGGUGGAGCGGUGAAAUGCGUUGAUAUCAGAAGGAACGCCGGUGGCGAAAGCGCUCGGCUGGACCUCUUCUGACGCUGAGGCGCGAAAGCUAGGGGAGCAAAC